GAAAAUUAUGCAAAUCGUUAUUGAUUUUCUUUGUUUGUCAUUUACUUGUAUAUAGAAAUUCGAAAUAGCCAUAAAUAUUGAACAUACGAAUUGACGCCUCGUAAAACGACAACUUACCAUUAACGACAUGCUGCUGCCUUAUGAGUUGGUGGAUGAAAUAUGUUCGAUGCGUUCCUCUCUUGAUCUCUGGUGGAUUAUUGGGCAAUUGUCGAUGCGGGCCACUGGCAUUGACCUUAGCAAUGACAUGGAUUAAUGUGAGUCAGAAGCUCCGUUGUGAGAAGAGGUUGUUGCGUCUUCACUUACCAAACAUAUAAAAGAAAGGUAGCGAGAAACCAAUAUGAGACUGUAUGCUGUAUUUAUUGGGAGAGUAGAGAUGCCACUGAAAAUCAUUUAAUAAUAUUUUAGCUCUAAGAAAUAACAAGUGAGUGAUCGACGGUGAGAUACCCAGUACCCAUUUCCAAUAAAAGCAAAACAUUGUAAAAGGGCGUUGAUCAUUAAAAUUUUUUAAUUUAUAUACCGACAAUACUAAAAUAUACCAAACCUAUAUUUGGUUUAUCAUACUACAUCAUUCAAAAUUGUCUAUGCAAAAAACCAAAAUAUACCAAGAGCUAUCUUUAAAAAUA
Drosophila nasuta is the source of this 623-nucleotide long non-coding RNA. RefSeq lists it as uncharacterized. The record is from RefSeq and is a predicted model, not a curated record. NCBI's taxonomy places the organism in Eukaryota, Metazoa, Arthropoda, Insecta, Diptera, Drosophilidae. The transcript has 2 exons.